Molecule: ribosomal RNA, 454 nt
Filed under: uncultured bacterium
Lineage: Bacteria
Description: partial 16S ribosomal RNA
Rfam family: Bacterial small subunit ribosomal RNA
Source: RNAcentral
GAUGAACGCUGACAGAAUGCUUAACACAUGCAAGUCAACUUGAACUUCGGUUUGGGUGGCGGACGGGUGAGUAACGCGUAAAGAACUUGCCUCACAGUUAGGGACAACAUUUGGAAACGAAUGCUAAUACCUGAUAUUAUGAUUUUAGGGCAUCCUAAAAUUAUGAAAGCUAUAUGCGCUGUGAGAGAGCUUUGCGUCCCAUUAGCUAGUUGGAGAGGUAACGGCUCACCAAGGCGAUGAUGGGUAGCCGGCCUGAGAGGGUGAACGGCCACAAGGGGACUGAGACACGGCCCUUACUCCUACGGGAGGCAGCAGUGGGGAAUAUUGGACAAUGGACCAAGAGUCUGAUCCAGCAAUUCUGUGUGCACGAUGAAGUUUUUCGGAAUGUAAAGUGCUUUCAGUUGGGAAGAAAAAAAUGACGAUACCAACAGAAGAAGAGACGGCUAAAUACGUG